UACGUAGGGUGCAAGCGUUGUCCGGAAUUAUUGGGCGUAAAGAGCUCGUAGGCGGUCUGUCGCGUCUGCUGUGAAAACUUAGGGCUUAACCCUGAGCUUGCAGUGGGUACGGGCAGACUAGAGUGCGGUAGGGGAGACUGGAAUUCCUGGUGUAGCGGUGAAAUGCGUAGAUAUCUGGAGGAACACCGGUGGCGAAGGCGGCAUCCUGGACCGGUAUUGACGCUGAGGCGCGAAAGCCAGGGGAGCAAACGGG
RNAcentral lists this ribosomal RNA (253 nucleotides) under uncultured bacterium. Its description in RNAcentral is "partial 16S ribosomal RNA". It matches the Rfam family "Bacterial small subunit ribosomal RNA", at positions 524 to 776 of the family's 1533-position model. The record is from RNAcentral.